Molecule: long non-coding RNA, 21287 nt
Filed under: Jatropha curcas
Lineage: Eukaryota; Viridiplantae; Streptophyta; Magnoliopsida; Malpighiales; Euphorbiaceae
Description: long non-coding RNA (JCUR_LNC000644)
Source: RNAcentral
UUUCAUUCUUCUAUCCAAUGGCUAAGUUUUAAACAAUAAAAUCUAAUACUAAAAAUUGAAAAAAAAAUUGAUGGUCCAAUUAGAUCAGCCCAUUGGGCCAUACGGAUCCAAGUGACACCGGCCUGUUAUCCUUCCACUGCUAGGAGCGGGAGGUGGUCGAUGCUCUGUGAAGCCAGCCUGACGCGGUGCCCUCCCCUCUACGAUUCAUGCAGUUCAAGCCUUCGCUAGAGCCACAGGAGCCAACUCUCAGCUUGGAACGGGCAGCCCAGACGAUAGCCAAUCGAACCCAACCCGCUGGUACUGAAUCAAUGUCCCAUCAAUUUCAUGCCCCCACUUGGGUCACAAGCCCAAGUUACUGGACUCGGCCGUGCGGUUCCCCUCAAAUGUUUACUAUAAAGGCUAAUUGUUUUUAGCUUUUGCUCGAUGUGGGAUUGGAUUCAUUAAGUUUUUCAUCUUUCUCGUUAUGUUACUUUUGUUUAAUCGGUGUUAUAAAUGAUAUUUGAAGUUAUAAAGUGAUCUUUGUUUUCUAAUUUUGUUUUUUUUUUUUUAAAUUCAUUUGUGUAUCUUAUAUGACCUAUCAAAUAUAAAUUUAUUAGAGAAUUAUCUAUCACUAUUGUUGUGAUUGGAAACAAUUUUUUAAGUAGUUUUGUUAAGACACUGAACGUAGUUUUGUCAAAUCGUAUAUGCACUUACCAUUGAACUAUGCAUUGGUGUGCACUUUAAAUACAAUUUUGGAUGUAAUUGAAUUUUUAUAUUCUAUUUGUUUGUGAUUACAUAGUAUAUUCAUGUAAUGGGAACAGGUCUUACACUAUUUGUGAAUGAAAAAAAAAUAAAGAAUUAAAUGCGGUUUGAAAGGAAAUAUCGGUAAUUUUAUUAAUUUAAAUUCAGAAUCAACUUUUUUUCGAUACACGAAAAUUAAUAAGAUCAAGUACAGUGACAAAUCAAACUUCAAUACCUGUAAUAAUCCGUAUUAUAAGUGGUAAUGAUGUAGAUAAUUAUGAUUCAAAAAUACUCUCCAAUAGAUAAAAUGAAAAGCGAACAUUUAAAACGUCGAUUGCUUUGUAUAUAUGAUAAUUAAUGAAUAUAAUAGUUAUUCAUACGGAAAAGUUCAAUUUGCACACUGAACUUGGGUCAAAUGUAUGAAAAACCUACAAAUGGACUUUUGAAUAAAAAAAACCUAUGAACUUAACAUUUUAGUAUCACUUUAGCUUAAUUUUUCACUAAAAAUUUAUGUGUGUACAGCACGCGGUCGAACAAUAAGAAAUAAAUGAAUUAAAAAUUAUUUUCCUCUAAUAAACAGUAACAGCAACAUCUCCUUAGCUAAAAUAAUCAAAUUUAAACUUAAAUCUCUAAAUCUAUCAUUUGCAGAAUGAAAUCUACUAAGUUGGAGAAGGAAAGGGAGAGAGUAGAAGGAAGCGAGUCAUACUGUGCUUGUUGAUUAAAGGCUCAUUGUUGGAUUUCUUAGAGCGAGAAGAACACAUGUAGAAAAUUUUAUUCCUGCAGAUUCUUAAAGGUGAAUGCGAAUUUGUUUUUUCUAUUAAUCAACUUCUUUUGUCAUUAAUUUAUCAAUAAGCAAGUGAUAUUUGUCAUACCCUUUUCAAUCUUUGUUAUCAUCCUUUUGUUCUUGAAUCUUUAUUAAAAAAAUUUUUUGGUUUUAUAGCCGAAAGUGAUGUUACUUCUUUGAAUGACACGACGAAAAAAUGGAGCAAAGAGCUGUAGAUGUGAUUAAUAAGCUGAAGUCCCAAUCAAACCUAAAGACUUCCCUCCCUACCAUGCAUCGAAAGUUUAUUAUGAAAUCCUAAUUCAAGAACCAUAGAUGGGAGAUGGGAUCAUUAAUAAUGGAGUUGAGACAACAAAGGAAGGAGUAUGAAAGGGUAAAGAGAAGGGAGUUCUAGUUGGUGUUUGCUUUGUGCUUUACAUUAGCUGUGUUGAUAAUAAUCAUUUUAAAUUGAAGUAGUUAUGGGAUUUGAUUUUAAUUACAAUUUGAGAAGAUUUUGUUGAAGUGAAGCUUUUGUCUUUAGGAAUUUUAACAAAAUGCUGUAGUUUGCCAAAACUACGCUUUGGUUUCAGCAUGAUAAUGUAACUAUUUCGUUUAUGGAAUAAAAAAUUGCUGCAAAUUUUGGAAUUGCCAUAUUUGUUUCUUCAAAACUUUAUUGGUGUUGCAUCCUAAUUAUUUGAUCAAUAAAUAUGAGAUGUGACAGGUUAUGAAUCUAUCAACUAUUUAUUCUGUUUCAGAUAUUAAUUCAUGGAAAAUAGCUUCCAGUUUUGGUUAUUUUGGCUAAGGAGAUGUUGCUGUUAUUAUUUAUUAGAGGAAAAUAAUUUUUAAUUCAUUUAUUUUUUAUUAUUGACACUUGCUGUACGCACAUAAAUCUUUAAUGAAAAAUUGGCUAAAUGAUAAUAAAAUGUUAAAUUCGAGGGUUUUUUUAUCGAAAAGUUCGUUUGUGGGUUUUUUUUACAUUUGACCCAGGGUGCAAAUUGAAACUUUUUCUUUAUUCAUUUUACAGUUUUAUUAUUAAAUAUUUUUAAAGUACAAAUUGCUCUAAUGAGAUUAAAUAAAUUGUUUAAAUUAAACUUUUGUUAUAUACCAUAUGUGCAAGUAUUAAUAUUUACGGGAAAAAGCUAAUUCCCACUAUCUUUACCUAAAACAAAUGUAAAUCUUCUUAAAAAAAUUAUUUUUUAUAUAUUCUAAAUUUUUUAGUUUGUCAUUAAUUUGAAGUAUUAGCCUUUAAGAUUCUGGCUGUAUUGAAGUCCUUGAAAACUUCCCAUUCCACGUGACUUACUUCUUCUGAUUUCUGAUAUUUAACUUAUAUCUUUCAUCCUUAUAAAAAUAAUUAGUACUUUGAAUGUGCUUUGCACAUUAUUUAUAUUCAUUGCAUUUACCAUUUUAAAAAAUAAUUUAAUACACUCUAAAAUAUCACAAACUGCUUUAAAAGAAAGUUGUAUGUAGAGCUUUUUUGCCUAAGUUGUAUAUCUUGGGUCCUCUCUUGGACUCCAAAUCAGUAAAUACGUUUCUAUUUAAAAUUCUAUGCCAAGCACUGACAAAGGGGGACCUAAGGGCCUCACCAAAAUAAUUUAUUAAACAAAUUCAUUUUCAAAAAAAAAAAUAAUUAAACAAAUUAAAGUCCAUAAUAUAAUAUUAGAAAUGAAAAAUUUUAAUUAAGCAAAUGAGUUUAUCCCGUGAUUUGAAAGCUACUAGCUAAUCUAGAUGGUUCAUCAUUACUUCAUUAGUGAUUAGAGACUGACGAUUUCAGCCUCCUCUUAAUAAUUUUCCCUUUGAAACAAAGCUAAAAAGUGAUUUUGAGAUAUGUAUUUUACAACCUUUUUCAUUAAAUAUACAACCUUUAAUAUUUCUUUUAUUCAAUGUUCAUUUGCGGAUGAGAAAAAAAAAAAAAAAAAAAAAAAAAAAGAUAUGAUAAUAAAGAAAGAUAGCCAUUUCAUAAUCAUUUUCCUCUCUUGGUCUAUGAGAAUCUAUGGCCUCCUGGACAUUUUUUAGGAAGAGGGGUUCCACACAAUGAAGGAUUACCAACAAAAACUGAUGGAUCAUUGAACUUUUUGAGCCCUUCAGGAAUUUUUCCUUCCAAAUUGUUGUAGGAUAAAUUUAACCGCACCAAUGAAUUCAAAGUAGCCAAGCUUUGAGGGAUCGGCCCAGAAAGAUGGUUAUAUGACAGAUCAAGUGAUUCCAAGUCUGUAAGUUCUCCAAUUUUCUCAUUAAUCUUUCCACUUAUCUGAUUUCUUGACAGGUUCAAGAAUCGCAACCCAUGAAGGUUUAUUACCUCAUCAGGAAUUUCUCCAGUUAGAUUAUUUCUAGAAAGGUCAAUUCCAUUAACUGCUGCAAAAAUGUUGUUAUAUUCAAGUGUUCUUCCUUUCAAUGCAACCAUUAGUAGUUGUAGAAAAACCUCAUUGUACUUACCACUGACCAUUCCUGUCAGGUUUCCAAUACAUUUUGGAACAGCACCUGAAAAUUUGUUGUCUGAAAGGUCUAAAAUGUGAAGAUUGUUGGGAUUACAUACUUCUUUGGGGAUUUCUCCAGUAAAUGAGUUUGAAUGAAGUUGUAACAUGAAUAAGGAAGCAAACCUUUCUCCUAUCCAAGAAGGUAAAUUUCCUGACAGGUUAUUUCUUCGAAGAUCAACACUCGUUAAUCCCGAGCAAUUUUGCAAUGAUGAAGGAAUCUCUCCAUCAAGAUUAUUGUUACUCAACAAUAAGACACUGAGGGAGGAUAAGGAACCAAAUGAACUUGGGAUUUUGCCUGUUAAAUUAUUGUUUGACACAUCAAUAGCCCAGAACAUUAGCUGAUGAGACCAACAGUUGGGAAUCUGUCCAGAAAGCUUGUUGCUUCUAAGGGAAAGAAUUUGCAAGCCAUUCAUAACACAAAAUGAUGAUGGAAUUGUACCAGAAAGAUGGUUUGAAGAAAGAUAUAACUUUUCGAGCCUUGGCAUUAGGCUACCGAUGUUUUCAGGUAUAGAACCUGAAAACAAGUUGUCCUGAAGGUAAAUAGUUGAUGCAUUUGUAGACCAAAAUGGAAGAGGACCCUCGAAAUGAUUAGAACUCAGAUCAAUAUACUUUAAAUUUGGAGAUUUCAUUUGAUUUGGCAGUUUUCCUUUGAUUUGAUUAUUUGACAGAACCAAGUAAGUGAUUUCAGAAGAUCGUUCCGAAAACCAUUCUGCUGGUAUAGUAUCUGAGAUUCCAACAUUUCUUAGAAUGACAGAGGUGAGUUCAUUUUGAACUUGAAGCCACAUAGGAAAGAAAGGACCUAUUACACAAUUUUCUAUUUGGAUGGAUUUGAGCCUGAAAUGAGGAAUCCACUUAUGAGACACAUUGAAGAUCAAAGACCUAGUAGGGAGGGUCGUGAGACGGAUAUUUUCUAAACUUCUGAGAUUUAUCAAGUGGGUUUCUGUCAAAAUGCCUUCCCAGGAAUUUGAAAUGAGGUCUACAUUCACUAACUUUGAGAGUUGACCAAAACUGUUAGGAAUUGUCCCAUUCAUAUUGUUAUAAGAAAGGUCCAAUUCCUUUAAAGAUGACAAUCUUCCUAUAGAUUCUGGAAUGGAACCCCAAAAAGAGUUUCCUGAAAGGUGAAGAUGCUGCAAAUUUUUAAGCACACCUAAUGAUUCAGGCAUUUCUCCUGUUAAUGAAUUAGAGUUCAAAUUUAAUGACACUAAGCUGUUGUUUUGAUUAUCCGCAAAACCACCUAAAAACUCAUGAACUUCACCAGUUAAACCAUUAGCAGAAAGAUCUAAGACCUUCAACUUACUUAGAUUACCAAGAAAACUAGGGAUAUGACCUCCAAAGUUCAAAUUAUUGGAUAAAUCAAGAACUUCCAAAGAUUUUAGUCUAGCAAAUUCACCAGGAAUUGGACCAGUGAAAAAGUUCCAUACAAGAUAAAGUCUUGUAAGGCUAGUAAGAUUGAAUAACCAUUGAGGAAUUGCAGAAUUGAAAGAGUUGUCUGAUAAAUCAAGAACAGAAAGAGAAGUGAAGUUGAUGGAAGAAAGUGAAAGUGGAAUAUUAUCAAGUUCACAGUAAUGCAAGUUUAACUCUAACAAAGAAGGAAGCAUAUUAAUAGCUUGAAGCCAAUCAGGCCCUACAUCUUUGAGCUUAACAUAGCCCAUAUUAAGGUACUUCAAAGAAGACAGAUCUGAAAGCCAGUGCAGACUGUCAGCGCGUAGCUCCAACGCGCCUGAAAUGCUAUACGAUCUUGCAUUAAGGUCAAGAUAUUGCAAUCGCCACAAAUUUCCAAGUUGAGAUGGAAUGAGUCCAGAAAAUGAUGAGAAAGAGAGGUUAAGGUAUCUCAAAUUUUCUAAUUCUCCCAAGAAUUCAGGAAUUUGAGCACCUUUGAAAUUAUUAAAGCUUAUAUCUAAAUACCUUAAGUAUUGUAACUCGAGUACAGAAGAACUAAUCUUACCACCCAAACAAGACUUCUCAUAAAUUUCUUGGUCACCAACUCCUCCAUUGAUUAACGUAUAAGGAUUUCGAAGGUCGAGAUUGAUGACAUGACCAGUUUGAUUAUUGCAUUUGAUUCCAUUCCCUUUGCAGCAAUCUUUUCCCUCCCAAGAGGAAAGUCUACCAAAAGGAUCAGUAAGGCCUUGUUUGAACACAACAAGAGCUUCUCUCUCUUUGUCGAUGCAUUGAACUUCAUCGCCCAAACAGAUCUUUAUAUGUGAAGAGAACAAAAAACACAAAACCAGAAGAAAGUGAAAAGGGUGACAAAUGGUUUCCAUAAAGGAAGAAUUAUUUUGCAGUGACAACUAAAUCUGCAAAUUGAGUUUAUAUAUAGAUUGGACUAUGAACAGAUAUAGUGUGAAAUGGGAAUUAGUGGAAAUGCCCAUAUGGGAAGUCAUGUGCCCAACAAUUAUAAAAUAUUAAGAAUGGGAAAGGUAGUGUUAGAUGACUAUGCUCUGUCCAUUAGUAUGGUGGUAUACCCACUUGCAUUUCUUAUUAACUGAAUUUGGCUUGUUUAACAUGUGGCUUACCAGAGACAUUUUGAGUUCCAAGUCAGGAAUUGCGUACUUCUUAAUUACAAAAUGUUGUCAUUCAAUAUCGAUAAGAGAAUUUCAAUAAACAAUACUCUCUCCGUACAAAAUAUAAGUUAUUUUUAUAUGAUUAUUUUAUCCUAAAAUAUAAGUCGGUUUGGUGUUGAGAUACAUGAUAAUUUGGUCAAAUCAUUCUUAGUUUUCUUAUAAUUUAGAAGCAUUAAUUGCUUCCUUAAUUUUUGUGUAAAAAUCUUUAGAGGGAUAAUGAUAAAUUUGAUAUCUCAACUUUAUGUUUUUUUUUAUUUUAGUGUCUUGCUGGAGAACAUUUGCAAUUGGUUGUAUUUACUUGUGAAAAUAUUCAAUUAAGUGGCUGUGUCCAUUUUUAAACACCAAAAAACUGACUCAGCAGUCGUGGAGCCUAUUUUUAAUAGGUGGCAGGCCAUGUGUAAUAAAGUGGAAUUUUUUUAAUCCACCUCAGCCCUUGUAUUAUGCGUGUACUUCGCCUUUACCCCUAAUUUAAUGCUCCCAAAGACCCAUCUAAAGAAAAAAGUUAUUUCAUCUUUUCAAAGGACCAUUAACCCCAUCUCUUAUAUUCCCAAACCAAAACUGUUUAGCGACUAAUCGUUAAAAAUACUCUAAAUUUUGCGGGUAAUUUUAAUUAUAUCCUAAAACUCCAUUGGUUUAUGUAAAAUGAAUUGUAAGAAAAUAUUUUUUAUAAUUUUCUGUUGUUUGUGGCAUUUAGAAAAAUAAGUCAAUGAAAAAUAUAUUUUUCUGGUCAAAGAAACAUUAAGUCAUUUUUAAAGAAAAUGACUUCUCAUUUUCAAGAGCGUAAAACAUUUUCCGGACUUUGACAAACUUAUUAUAACCUUAUAAAUAUUUUUUUUAAUUUAUUAAUCAUCGAUAACCACUAACACUACUCACCAUUCACCACUAACUACCACCACCGGCCACCGGCGACUUUCAUAAUUUACCCUUUUUUUGCUUUAUUCUCAUAUUUAAAAAUAAAAUUAUUAAAAUAUGCAAUUUAUAUUAUUAUUAUUGUUGUUGUUGUUGUUAUUGUUAUUGUUAUUUAAAAAAUUUAAUAUUUUUAAAUAAUUUUUAACAGUGCAACCAAAUAAGGGAAAAUAAGUCAUUUAGAAAAUAUUUUCCAAAGGUAAGUUAUUUUUCGGAAACAAACGGAGCCUAAAUCCAACUUUCUUCUCCUAGAAUCUUGAAUUUUAAUUUUAGUUACAAUAGCACCCUAAUUUCAAAUUAUACCCAAUUUAAUGAAUAGAAUAUUAUUUAUGAGACCUAGUUUAACCUUUUUUUCAAAUUAGAUUUCUUCCCACCACCGCUUAUAAAUAAAUAUAUAUAUUUAUAGAAAUAUUAAAAUAAAAAAUAAUCUAUUCAUCUUAAAAAUGAAAUACUUUUUUUUAUAAUAUUGACAACAAGUAAUAAUUCUUGAAAAAUAAAAUGAUGUCGUAAUAAAUAAAACUUAUUUUUAUAAGAGAUUUAACCUGAGUAUAAAUAAAAUUUUAUGCUUAAAAAAUUGCAAAACAAAAACCUAAACUAAUAUUUUAUGUUUAUAACUAACUAAAAUUUAUUAUUUUACUUGACUUUUUAUGAAUUUAAAUUCUUAACCAAUAUUAGCCAGAGCAUUGUUAAACAGUAAAUUUUUAGUUAACCUACCAUACAAGAGAGUAUAAUAUUUUAUUCAUUAAAUUGGAUACAAUUUGAAAUUAUGAUGCUAUUAUAACUAAAAUUGAAAUUCAGGGUACUAUGAAAAGAAAGUUGAAUUUACCUGUAAAGUUUGAGAUAUUUUUAAUGGUUUAGCUCCUCAGCUUGAUAGAACAUGAUCUCAUUACAAAAUUAGGGCAAGAUUCCAGUGAAGGAAAUUGAAUCAAGAAAAAUGCAGAUGAUGAUCAGAAGAAAAUUGAAUUAAGGAAAAUGCAGAGAUGAAUCAGUAUGAUGGUAGAUGAUUAAAUCGGUUCCAUCUGUAAGUGGUAAAAAUGAUAAAUGAUGAUAUUGAACGCAGAGAUGAAUAAAUAUGUUUCUGUGUUGCUAAAUGAAUAUUAGUUUGUUGGGUUUUGAAUCUGCAAAUUUCUUAUAUUAUCCUAAUGAUUUUGUAUAUGACAUUGUAAAUUGCCCCUUAUGUAAAGGAAUUUCAAUCUAUAAUUUUUUUUUCUCUUCCAUUCUUCCAUUUCUGAUAACGAGUAUUAAUGAUGUAAUUAAAUACAAAUCAAACAAUUCGAAGGAAAAGAACUCAUUUGAGUUUUUGUAAAAACGAAAUUCAAAUUUUAGGAAGAAAGUUUUUUUUUUUUUUCAAGAUAUGUAUUCAUCUUUGUUGUGUUGAUUCCAUUCUUCCAUUCUCUUCUUUCAUUUUCUUCUUUAAUCUUUUGAAAAUCAUUACAAAGUACGCAUAAUACAAGGGCUGAGGUGGAUUUAAAGUGAUUCCACUUCAUUACACAUGACCUGCCACCUAUUAAAAAUAGAUCCCGCAACUGCUGAGUCAGCUUUUCGAUGUUUAAAAAUGGCCACAACCUAAUUGAACAUUUUCACCGGUAAACACACCCAAUUGUAAAUGUUUCCGUCAAGACACUAAAAUAGAAAAAAAAAACGUAAAGUUGAGACACUAAAUUUAUCACUAUUUUAACCUUAAACAACUUGUAUUUUGAGACAAAAUGAGUAUAUAUGUAUCACGGGACUUGAGAUGUAGAAAAAAAACACAUAGAAAGAGGCAAUUACAACCCUCAAAACCAAAUUAAUCUUAUACUAUCUCCAUCUCAUAUGUAUAUAGACUGACUUUUUUUUAUUUGUCUCAAAAUAUAGUUAUAUUUUUUAAAAAAAUUAUUUAUUGUUUAAUUUUUUAAUAUACUCUUGUUUAAUGUACAUUUAUAUUUUUAAAUAAUUGUAUUACAUCAUUUAAUAUUAAUAGGUAAGUAUGUUAGAAAAUUACUAACCAAAAAAUAUAGUAUAACUAUAUUAAGUAGUUUUCUUUAAUCUAUGUGAAAGUCAAACUAAACCUUUAAAUAUAGGAUAAGGGAGGGAGUAUAGAAAAAAAAUAUAAUGAUAUUCAUAGAAAAAUAAAAGAAAGAUGCAUCCUAAUAAAAAAAAUGUUGACCUUCCUAAAAGUAUUGGAGAGAACCCUAGAGGCAUCAAUAGUGGGGGUAAUCAUUAUUCAAUGUAAAACUGCCAAAUUAAAUCGGACCAAAUCAAAUUAGCCAAUUUAAUUUAGUUUGGUUGCUAAAAAAAAAAUAGGUAGGUUUAUAAAUUUUGAAAAAAAUGAUUGACAGCUGAGUUUCAAUUUUUGAUUUCAAUAAUACAAACCAAACCAUAAUCAUAUAAUUAUAUACUCCCUCUGAUCUUUUACUUUAGAGAAAAUUUUCAUUUAGGGUGUUUGUGGUAUGUACAGAAUUUUACCCUAAAUGGAAAUUUUGGGAAGGAUGCAAAAGGAAAAGUCUAAAAUUCCCUUGAAUAAACUAUGUUGCUGCUUUUAUUCCCAGCUCAAUUAAUUGAGCAUAGUGGCAAACAAAAAAUAGAUUGGACAAUUACUGAUAUUAUGUUUUGAAAGCAUGCAUGAGUAACUGCUACGUUUAUGAGCAGUUUGGUAGAAAUAUGCUCGAUUUUACAGAUUUGAGCAUGAAUAAAUGUAAUACAUUAGUCAGGUAUCCUAAUAUGGUUACACAUUUUAAUUGUUGCGCGCUAUUCAUAAAAAAGUCUUUACAUCCAUAUUAUAUUUUUAAUUUGAGCACAAAUUUAAAAUUUUUCCAACAAACUUAAUUGUAACACUUGUUGACUAAAUUUGUAUUCAAUUUCCAAGAAGUGUGCAUAAUUUACGCACCAAGCACGAGUAUUUUUCUUAGGAGAUUAACAUAAAAUAGUCACAGAUUUAUAUUGUUACACUCUACUUUAAAAAAAAAAAAAUUCUUUUAUGUGAAUUAACUCUUACUAACAUGAACGCAAAAGUUUGCUUUUAAGUUCUCAUAUCUAUUGAUUCAUUCAAUGGCAAAACAAAUUUUAGCAAAAUGAUAACAUGUGUCUGACAAUUGUGGUCUAUAUCAUGAUGUCUACGAAUAAUUUUCUUUUUACUAGUGUCCUAUUUUUAAAAACAAUGUAAAUCUACUACUUUUGAAGUUGAAGAGACUCCUACAAUCUUCAAAGAUUUUGGCUAAUAAAAAAAAAACAGUUUAAUAUCAGCUUGAAAAAUUUAUAAACCCUAAUUAUCAUUUUGGUUUGAAAGUUCCUUCAAACCGUCCUAAACCAGACCAUGUAUACCUGCACUUCUGAGAUAUGUGUAGCAAAUGUUUGAAAAAUUUGUACAGUUUUCCAAUUCCUUAACUGUUGGUCAGUUAUCAUUUAUACCACAACUCAAUGAUCAAUUUUGUGUUAUCCAUUAUCGACGACUCAGAUUUUAAAGACGAUAUUUUCCUUGCCAAUUCAAAACGGCAGUUCCACUUUCUCAAUCUGAAAAAUGCAACUUCAAUUUUCUUAUAUUGCGGCACGUUGGGAUUUGAUUUAGCUAUUAUAUAUUUUAUAUUUAUACUAUAUAUAAAUGUGAGUAAAUGGAAAAAUAAUGAAAUUUCUUAUAUCGUACUUAACGAAAUUUAAAUGUUCUAAACUAACAUUAGUCAUAAGCCAAUUGAAUUAUUAUAUUUUAUUAGUUGAUUGGAUAUAUUUAUAAAAAUUAUUUUUUAAAUAAAUACAUAUAGACAUUUAGGCAUUUCAAGAUUUUAAGAUUUUCUUUCCUAAAUUUAUUUUUUAAUAAAUAUAUAUCAUAAUUUUUUAAAUAUUUGAUUCUAUUUUGAUUAUAAUUUAAAAUAAUUUUAUUUAGGAAGGAGGUAAAAAAAGAAAAAAGUAUACUUUUUUGUGUUUAUAUGAUUUGAUUGGAUAUACUUUUUAAAAAAUAAAUAUACGUAAUAUUUUAUUUAGGAGAGAGAUAUAAAAAAUAAAAAUAUAUAUUCUUUUUCUUUCUGUAUGAUUAUAGAGAAAAUUCAGGGUUUAUUUGGAGAGAAUAUAACGUUUCUUUUAUGUAAUCUUUUCUUUACUACUUAAUUAACUUAUUUAUUUAUUUAUUUUAAAUUUACAACUUAAAAUAAUAUAGAAAUAAAAUACUCUAAUAAACUCAUUAACCGACCAUCUAUUGAAUCCUAGCAUGAUUUUGUUUUGUCAUUUUCAUUUAUUGACUUGGCUUUAUUUUAUUUUAUUUUUGUCCAUCAACAUUAAAUUUCAUUAAAUUAUAGUCUUUCUAGAGUUAUUUUUGAAAUCCAAAUUGAUUAUUUUUUUAAUAUAAUUUAUUUCUUGUUAUACGUUGAGUUCUUAAAUGAGUUUUAUUCAUAAUAAUAAUUUUUAUUUUAUUUUUCAUUAUUGAAUUAAUUUGUAAUCACUAUCACUUUAAUUUAGUAAGAGAUUCGUAUCUCUCUUACAAUAACUAGAUAGCAUCUUGAUUAACUAUUUUUAAUUUUCUUGAUAUUUUUUCAUUUAUAUCCUAAAUCUGUUUGACUUGAACGAAAAUAGUAUUUAUGAAAUUAAAACAAAAUUAAAACUAUAUAUUUUUUAGACCACUUUAUUUUUUAAAAGUAGAAUUAAGUACAUAAAAAAUAACAUUACAAGUAGCUCAUACGGCAAAGUUUAAUACAAAUUAACUAAUUAUUUUUAUUUUUAUUUAAAUAAAAACUUAUGCUUUAAUAUUAUGUAGAUAAAAAAUUAAAAGACAAUGAGUAUUGUUACUGUGUGGUCAUUAAAAAAAGACUGAUAAAUAUAAAUAGAUAGAUACAUAUGCAAAGAAAACAAAUUUUAAUUUUCAUUAUAUGAACAUGUGCAACUGAAUUUUACCUCUUUUAUUCUACUAUCUAAUGGCUAAGUUUUAAACAAUAAAAUCUAAUACUAAAAAUUAAAAAAAAAAUGGUGGUCCAAUUAGAUCAGCCCAUGGGGCCAUACGGAUCCAAGUGGCACCGGCCUGUUAUCCUUCCACUGCCAGGAGCGGGAGGUGGUCGCUGCUCUGUGAAACCAGCCUGACGCGGUGUCCUCCACUCCACGAUUCCUGUAGUUCAAGCCUUCGCUUGAGCCACAGGAGUCAACUCUCAGCUUGGAACGGGCAGGCCAGAGGUUAGCCAAAUGAAUCCAACCCGCUGGUGCUAAAUUAAUGUCCCAUCAAUUUCAUGCCCCACUAAGGUCACAAGCCCACGUUACUGGACUCGGCGGUGCAGCUCGCCUCAAAUGUAUAAUAUAAAGGACAAUUGUUUUUAGCUUCUGCUCGAUGUGGGAUUGGAUUCAUUAAGUUUUUCAUCUUUCUCGUUGUGUUACUUUUGUUUAAUCGGUGUUAUAAAUGGAUUUUUGAAGUUAUAAAGUAAUCUUGUGUUUUUUAAUUUUGUUUUUUUUUAAAUUAAUUUGUGUAUCUUAUAUGACCUAUUAAAUAUAAAUUUAUUAGAAAAUUAUCUAUCGCUGUUGCUGUGUUGGGAAACAGUUUUUUAAGUAGUUUUGUCAAAACACUGAACAUUAUUUUUUAAAUAUUAGAACUAAUUUUUAAAGAAUAAGAUAGCGUUUUAUAAAAUGUUAAAUACUAUAACAUGUAAUUUUUAGUGUUUUUCUACUUUAAAAUAACUAACUGCUAUUAAAACAACUAAUAGCUAAUAACUACCAAAACAGUUAGAUGGCCUCUUGACUAAGCAUUUUUAAUUUUCUUGAUAUUUUUUCGUUCAUAUCCUAAAUCUGUUUGACUUGAACAAAAAUAGUAUUUAUGAAAUUGAAAAGAAAACUAAAACUAUGUAUUUUUAUUUUGGGUCAUUUUUUGGGUUUCAAGAAUUUGUGUGUGUUCAUAUAUUCCUUUCUCUAAUGCACUGGGUAAGUAAUACUAUUAUUAUUGCCAAAAUGAUUAUCAUUAUUGAUUCAUAUCAUCUUCUCAUUUAUUUUUUUUACCUAGCAGUAAAACAUAAUUUAUUAUUAUUUUUCAUUAUGGUCGUAUAUAGAUAUUGAUUUAAGAUUGAUGGCAAAUGGUUGGGGAUUGAGUGAUAACUUGAUUUUCUUUUUUGGAACCUAUCAAGGUUUAAGAAUCUGCAUUUAUAAAUUAAGGAUUGAAGGAUUAGGCAUAGGAUUAAAUUAAAUUUUAUUUUGAGACCACUUUAUUUUUUAAGUACAUAAGAAAUAACAUUGCAAGUAGCUCCUACGGCAAAGUCUAAUACAAAUUAACCAAUUGUAUUUAUUUUUAUCUAAAUAAAAAUUAUGCUUUAAUAUUAUGUAGAUAAAAAAUUAAAAGAUAAUGAGUAUUGUUAGCGUGUGGUCAUAAAAAAAAUACUAAUAAAUAUAAAUAGAUAGAUACAUAUGCAAAGAAAACAAAAUUUAACUUUCAUUAUAUGAAUAUGUGCAACUGAAUUUUACCAAUAACUUCAAUUAAUGUCGGAACAAUAUAUUAUUUUUAAGUAUAGUUCUUAAUUGAUAUAAUAAAUAAAUAACAAUUAUUUAAUUGUUUAAAAAUUAAAUUUAAAAUAUAAUAAUAAUAAUAAUAAUAAUAAUAAUAAUAAUAAUAAUAGUUUGAAAAAUAGUCUUCUUCUGCCACGAACUCAUAAUUGCUUGACUUACAUUUCAUCUUUUGCCCUGACCCACCAUUGGCAAGGAAACUACAAAAUGCAGAGCAGUUAAAUUGAAAGUAUAAACUGCAAAAUAGAAUUGGUUGAUUUCACUUUAUUUAUUUUCAGCCUUUAAACAUAAAUAUAUAUUAAAUUUUAGUUUCAAAUUAUAAUUAAGAAAAAGCUUUUACCAAAUCAAACAUAUUAAAUUAAUAUUCUCUUUUAUUAAUUUAGUUGUGGGCGGUUACUACAAUACAUAUUUAAAAAGUUCUUAAUGGAUAGAGAAACUAUAAUUUUAUGCCAUUUGACAUCCUACCUUUAGUAUAGCAAGUACAUAUCACUAAUUAUAUAAGGUUUUUUUUUUUAUUCUUUACAAAUUUCAUUUUUUCUUCUUUUGGUAGAAAAAAACGUCUUUUUAAAUUACUGUUAAAGAAAUACAUAUCAUUUUUUUUAAUUAUAUAUUUUUUUCAAUUUCAUUUUCGAUAAAUAUUUUCUUAAACUGUUAAAAAUAUUUUUUAUAAAUUAAAUUUUAUUUAUUUUAAUAAUUUUAAUCACAUUCUCGUAAGUAAAAAAAAUUUAAUUACGUCCGCUACUUCUUAAAUAUAUAUUAUAAUAUUAUAAAUCAAGUAAAGGAGAAUUUUAAAAAAUAAUUGAAAUGAUGUGUAAAUUAAAAUAUUAAAUUUAAUAAAGUGACACAAUUGCUUUUACAAAGGCUAAUAGCUAAUAAUGAAAUAUUAAUAUAAAUAUUUAAAAUAAUGAAAAUUAACCCAUUAAUAUUAAUAUAUUCAUUAGGAGAAUAAACAAGAAUGUUUAAUGAUAUACAUUUAUAAAAAUUUAUAUUGCAUAAUACAUGUGUUUUGAAUUUUCCUAUACAAAUAAAAGUAGGCUUUCAGAAAAUAAAAUUGAUGAAAUUGAUUUUGGGUUAAUAAAUAAAUAUUUAAUAGCAAUUAAGCAAUAUUUUUAUUUUUAAACUAAGUAAGAGUUUUUUUUACCUAUAUAGUUAGGUGGCUUCUCUUUCACUCUACUAUCCAAUGGCUACGUUUUAUAACAACAAAAUCUAAUACUAAAAAUUGAUGGUCCAAUUAGAUCAGCCCAUUGGGCCAUACGGAUCCAAGUGACACCGGCCUGUUAUCCUUCCACUGCCAGGAGCGGGAGGUGGUCGCUGCUCUGUGAAACCAGCCUGACGCGGUGCCCUCAACUCUACGAUUCAUGUGGUUCAUCAAGCCUUUGAAAUCGGUGUUACUUUCUUACAUAACAUACAGAAAUACAAAUAGGACACAUGAGACCUACUUUAUAUAUUAAAAUGUGAUGAUUCAGCUUUGACUAAUGAAGCCAUAAACGAAUGAAAAAAGAAAAGCAAAAUGCAAAACUCUAUGAUCCAAACAAUAUAAAUGAAUCUAACUCAUGACCUGCAAUAUAGGAAAAGAAGAUAAGAAAACUGUAAGUUCCAUCACAUCUAGUAAACAUGGCAUCCAGUAAAACAAUAAGGCCCCACCUUAAUGUAAUGGCAUACUAUAAACUAGUGAGAAAAUUUUGGAUAAAUAAUAAAUUUAGUGUCUCAACUUUCAAUUUUUAAUUAUUUUAGUUUUUGAACAAAAAAUAUGUGCAAUUGAGUGCAAAUUUUUAAAAAAAUACAAUCAAGUGUCAUUUGUUGAUGUAGGUGUCAAAAAACUGACCCAUCACAAGUAGGACCCACAUUUGUCCAGUCACUAGCCUAAGUGGAAUGACACCAAAUUGCUGACUAUGAAAAAACUAAAUCUGACUUGGCAAACUCUACGGAUUCACAUUAUUGUCCUAAUUUCUCUCCACCAAAUCUUUCUGCUUCUCUUCUUCACCAGCAAAAUUUUCCUCUCCUUCACCAACAACUGCUGAAUCUCUACACUCCACAUAUAAAAUCAUCGCCAAAACUUGCAUUUUCAGCCACAAAAUCUAUAUUUUAAAUAGCUAGGUGAUGAAUGGGAAAUCCAAUUUGUUCUUUCUUCUCUUCUUCAAUGAAUUAAUGUUUUUGUAUCGCUUCUUUACCAUUUUUCUAGUUCUUUUCGCUUUGAAUAAUCAUUGUUGUCCUUUCUAUUCUCUUAGAGGUGUGAUUGCCCGUAUUAUUCAAACCCCUUUUGGGGCCUUUUUCGUUUGUAAAUCAAGAAGCCUAAAUCAGCUCGAGGACCUUGCGUUUAUCAAAUACAGCUUCAAUUCUCUUAAAUCCUCUAUCUUGAAUAAAAUCCUCUUAAAUUGUGAGAUUCUUUCUCCUAAAGUCGUGGACUUAUUGCUCAAACUUGACUAUUUUAAGGUAUAUCAUCUUCCUUUUUAUCUUUUGGAAAACGUAUUUUUUCUUUUGGUUUAAUAUAUGGCCGUUACUGAUUAGGUAGUGACCCCAUGAUUCAUUUGAGUCGAUAAUUUUCUGUGGCUUUUAUUUCGGUCAAUAAUUUCCUUUCAUUGUUGCCCUGGCAUACAGUAUGUUGCCUCACACAAGUCAGCAGCAACGGUGGCCAUUGCCUGGAGGAGGAAGAUAAUGGUUACUAUCACAAGCAAGACCAAGAGGACGGAGCUAUAAUAAUUUAUAUACAAAUGGUUAAUUUAUUUUAAUUCUUUUUUUGGUUUUCUAUAAAUUUUUUUAGGAGAAUUGGAUUGUGGUAUUUAAGAGAAAUUUAUGGAUUGUUAUUUUUUAGAAUUUGAUUUUCGAUGUUUAAGGCUUUUGAGACUAGAAAAAAAAGCAGAGAGAAAUAUAUUAGGAAAGCGAAAGGGAAGAGAGAGAAAGAAAGGAGGAUUGAAGGAGAGGGAGAGGGAGAAGAGAGUAAAGAGAAAAGAGAAGGAUAAAUGAUAAAGAAAGAGCGGAUUUAAAAGAUGAGGCGGUGGUGGCGGGCAAAAGUAGCGGUUCAUGUAGGCACUGGGAUCCAGUGAUGCUGAUGUUGGUGGUAAUGAUGGUUUGCGACGGAGGUUAAGCCAUCUGCGUAAGAGAGGCUUCUUCUCUAAACGCAUUAGAUUAAGGGUGACAAAGUCAUUUCAUUGUUUUUGCCAUGUUGCUCAAUUAUUUGUCCAUACAAUUGAUUUGCUGCCUGUCAACGUGACCGGUUCAAGAUAUUUAAAAUUUUAAAACGAAAUUGACCCUUAAACUUUUGAUUUUAGUCCGGUUUUAAUUUCGACAUGAUUUUGGCAUGGUUCCGAUGAACUAACGGUUCAAAUUACAGUUUCGAUUCAGUUUUAGUAUUACACAAAUUUUAAAAAAAAUAAUAAAUUUUUGAUUUCAAAUUCAUAAAUAAAUAAUAAUUUUAAAAUGCUUAGAUUUUAUUAACUAAAUAAAUUAUUAUAAAAUUUUAAAAGAAAAACUUCUAUUAACUUAGAACUAUCGUAACAUUAAAUUUACAAAUUUUGCUAACUCACUAAUAUAGAAAAUUAUAGUUUUUUUUUUUAUUUUGGGCUUGAAUUAAGUUAAAAUUGAAAAAUUGUCUACGUAUCAUCUUGGGAAUUAGAGAAAAUCAAAGCCCACGUAGUUCUUUUUUUUAUUACAAUGGAAAAUAACCUCACAAUUAUUACAAUUAAUUUUAGUCAUCAGUGCCACUAGUCCCUGUUAAUGAGCCAGAAUAAUCAUCAUCGCUUGAAUUUUGUUGGUUUUGAGUUCUCAAUGCCACUUUAGUCCAAUCGUGAACACAUUCUUGCAUUUCCACAUUAUUUGGCGAUAAUCUUGAUUGUGUUGGAUCUAAAAUUUGUCCACCCACACUAAAAACUUGUUCCACUGCAACAGUAGAAAUUAGAUAAGCAAGAAUAUCUUUUUCAAUUGAAGCUAAGACUAGAAAGCGAUUUGCAUGCUUUUUCCACCAAUCCAAAAUAUUAAAUUUUGUUGGGUUUUCAUCCGCAUCAUCACCUAAAAACUCAAAAUCUAUGCUAAUACAUGUCUCAAUUUCUGUGUAUGAAUGUGGACCUUCCCUUAAUUUUUUUGAAACAUUUUGCAUGAAAGUAAAUUGUGUAGAAUAAAAUUUAGUGGAUUGUGUANNNNNNNNNNUAGUUUGUGGAUCUGAUACUUGAGGAAGGGGAGAUACUAAUUUAGAAUACUCAUCAUACAAUUGACGGACAUAUCUUAAAACAUUAUUAAUAAGAGAAAAAUAAUCUACUUCGAUAUUAAAAGAUCCAUAAUAAAAACGAAAAAAAUUUUUGUAAUGCAACUAACUUAAAUCUAGGACAAAGAAAAAAUACAACUAAAUUUAAAUUCAGAAUUGCAGUAUAAUAUUUUAACCAUUUAGUUUUCAUCAUGAAUAUACAUUCUUGUAAAUCAUCAUCAUUUUCAUUUUCAAUUAUGACACCACUUAUGGCUAAACAAUGAAAUGGAAAUAAAUGGGAAGUAGGAUAAUAAACACCAUUAAAAAUUUUUGUACAAUUUUUAAAAACUUGCAAAAUAUCUAAUAUUUUUUUACAAAUAGUCCAAUUGGUUGGAUAAAGUUGAAAAUGUGAUGCAUGCAAUUGCAUAAAUGAAGAAAGAAUAUCUUUAUAUACAUAAGACUUAUUUAACAUUUUAUGAAUGGAAAAAUUGAGAUUAGAAGGAAUUGAGAAUCGGAUGUAUGAAAAUAAAAAAUAAAAAAUAAAAAAUAAACACAAGAUAAUUCAAUAUUAAGAAAAAUAAAGCGAUAGAAAAAAUAAUGAACUAUGUACAUUUGAGAGAAUUUUGAUUGAGAAUAAAAGGAGAGUUAAAAUAUAAUUGGUUGUGAAAAAAAAUCAUCAACUCAUCAUAUUUAUACAUAUUUUUCAUUUUUUUAGUUUUCCAAAUUGUCUCUUAUUAUAGAAAAGUAACAACUAUAUUUUUGGAUAAUUUAGUAAAUUAUAAUAAAUAAAUAAUUGAUUAAAAAUGAAUAAAAUUUAUUUACCAAAAAUAAAAAAAUUAAAAGUCAUCUCAAGAUCUCAGCUAGCCGUUUGUACCUUUUUUUUGUACACAUAAAAUUAUUUUUUUUUACAACUCAACUAUUCAUGUACCAUUUUUUGCACAAAUUAAAUCAAAUCAUGUGUACUUUUUUCAUCACUUUUUAUAAAUUAUAUAUCAUUGUGUACUUCUCUUCACCAUAAAUCGGAUCAACUACAAUCAAAUCAAGUGAUAUAAAUUUUUUUAUAAAAAAUUUUAAGCUACAAAUAAUUUUAUUUGUGCAUUCGGUUCAAACCUUUAAAUCGUCGAUUUGAAUCCGGUUCUAGUUAAUUUACAGUACGAUUCGAUUUCGGUUAAAACCGAACCGAUGGCCAUGCCUAUGUCUAUGUAUGCAACUAACUCAGCAAACGUGGGACCAAAUUGGUAUUUGUUAGCUUUCUGGCAUCCAUGUCAACAAAUGACACUCAAUUGUAAAUUUUAAAAAGUUUAAUCACUCAGAUUGCAAGUAUUUUCCAUUCAGACACCAAAAUAGUAAAAAUUCAAAAGUUCAGAACUAAAUUUAUAAUUUACCCGAAAUUUGCUAAAAUCGUGAUUGGACUAUAACAUCAAACAACCCACAUAUUCUUAGAAGUUCUCUACUGUAAACUAGCAAAGGUUUUGGAAGCGUGUACUGCACCAUUGUAUACUAAGGAUAAAGCUCAGUAGGGAUAUUAGUCUCAGAGAUCAUAGCACAGCGAGGAGGGAAAUGAUUGCGCUGGAAACAAAAGGGGCAGAUCCAGAUCUUACCGGUGACAUAGACAUGGCCGAAAGAAGUGUGCAAUACUUGUUGAAGUGUGCAAUAAUUAACUAAAUUUGUAUUCAAUUUCCAAGAAGUGUGCAAUAAUUUAUGCAUGAAGCACCGAGUAUUUUUCUUGGGAGAUUAACAUAAAAUAGUCACAGAUUUUUAUUAUUACACUCUACUUUUAAAAAAAUUUCCUUUAUAUGAAUUAACUCUUACUAAUAUGUACACAAAAUUUUACUUUUAAGUUCUCAUAUCUAUUGAUUCAUUCAAUGGCAGAACAAACUUUAGCAAAAUGAUAGCAUAUGUCUGACAAUUGUGGUCUAUUUCGUGAUGUCUAAGAAUAAUUUUCUUCUUACUAGUGUCCUAUUUUCAAAAACGAUGUAAAUCUAUUAAUUUUGAAGUUGAAGAGACUCUCACAAUUCUCAAAGAUUUUGGCUAAUAAAUUCACAUUUAAAAUACUCUAUUAAUGAGUUGAUUUCUUCACCAUUAAUUAUGUAUUUAAGAUUGAUUAGGAGUAUUAUAGCCAAAAAAUGGGUAAAUAUUUCUGUUUAACUACUUUCUUAAUCCUAGAAUAUUUUAUGUUUUCUCUAAAAUGUGAGAGUAGUAUAAUAUAGUAAACAAAAGUUAUAUGAAUUGUGAUAUAUAAAAAUAUUUUAUUUACAUUAGUAACCAAUGCAAUAUAUACAAGUGGAGGAAAGAGAAUUUUGAAGUGCAUUAAAGUUCAAGAGUUUAUAUCAUUUUGUUUGUAUGUUUAAUAAUUUUUAUAUCAACUUUAACAGUAUUAAUAUGUUAUGUUAUUUAAACUUGAUCAAACCGUUUUACAAAACUGUAUCAUUUUAGUUCGAUUUGAGAUAAAAAAAAAAAAAAAGAUUUAUAUCUCCCUUGCAAUAAAUAGAUGGCCUCUUGACUAACCAUUUUUAAUAUUCUUGAUAUUUUUUCGUUUAUCCUAAAUCUGUUUGACUUGAAUGAAAAUAUUAUUUAUGAAAUUAAAAAAAAAUUAAAACUAUAUAUUUUUGAGACCACUUUAUUUUUUAAAAAUAGAAUUAAAUACAUAAGAAAUAACAAUGCAAAUAGCUCAUACGGCAAAAUCUAAUAUAAAUUAAUCAAUUGUAUUUAUUUUUAUCUAAAUAAAAACUUAUACUUUAAUAUAUAAAAAAUUAAAAGAUAAUGAGUAUUGUUACCGUGUGGUCAUUAAAAAAAGACUAAUAAAUAUAAAUAGAUAGAUACAUAUACAAAGAAAACAAAAUUCAAUUUUCAUUAUAUGAACAUGUGCAACUGAAUUUUACCUCUUUUAUUCUCCUAUCCAAUGGCUAAGUUUUAAACAAUAAAAUCUAAUACUAAAAAUUAAAAAAAAAAUGAUGGUCCAAUUUCAUCAGCCCAUUGGGCCAUACGGAUCCGAGUGGCACCGGCCUGUUAUCCUUCCACUGCCAGGAGCGGGAGGUGGUCGCUGCUCUGUGAAACCAGCCUGACGCGGUGCCCUCCACUCUACGGUUCAUGUAGUUCAAAGCCUUCGCUUGAGCCACAGGAGCCAACUCUCAGCUUGGAACGGGCAGGCCAGAACUUAGCCUAACGAACCCAACCCGCUGGCGCUGAAUCAUUGUCCCAUCAAUUUCAUGCCCCCACUUGGGUCACAAGCCCACGCUACUGGACUCGGCGGU